Non-coding RNA from Globicephala melas (long-finned pilot whale), 346 nucleotides. The record is from RefSeq and is a predicted model, not a curated record. Lineage: Eukaryota; Metazoa; Chordata; Mammalia; Artiodactyla; Delphinidae.
ACGAGCAUCCUUAUAAGUAAAGGAGGGCACAGGAAGUCGGAGAAGCUGCCUCUAGAAGCUAAAAAAUGCGAGAAAAUGGACUCUCCCCUAGAGACCCCAGAAAGGAAUGCAGCUCUGCUGAUACCUUGAUUUUAGCCCCGUGAUGCUCAUCUUGGACUUCUGACCUCCAGAACUGACACAAACCAUGUGAUUGAAAAUGAAGAAUUCAGUCAAAUCAACUGUCUGUUGUCUCAAGACCUAUAUGUAAAUACAGCACCUGGAGAAAUAUGGUUUCUGACUGCCACCUGGAAUUCAUGGUUUCUGAUGAGAAAUUAGUUGUAAUCUUAUUGAUGAUCUCAUAUAUGUG